This is a long non-coding RNA of Carassius auratus (goldfish), 2538 nucleotides long. RefSeq lists it as uncharacterized. The record is from RefSeq and is a predicted model, not a curated record. NCBI's taxonomy places the organism in Eukaryota, Metazoa, Chordata, Actinopteri, Cypriniformes, Cyprinidae. The transcript is spliced from 4 exons.
AUUUUUUGUUGUUUUUAAACUCCUAUCUUAAAAAACUAAAAAAUGCAUUUGUUUGCAUGGCUGAUCUGUUUUAAAUACUUUUUUAAUUUAUCUGCGGUGGCCCUUAGUGAGCGUGCGCUAAUAUAAUUAUAUUCUUAUGGCUACCACUUCGAAAAAAGGUUGCAAAGGAAACAAUAGUAUAAUUUAGAUAAUGUCGAGCAUGAUUAUUAAUAACGAGUGAAACCAGCAGACGCAGUUUUAUAAUUCGUAUAAUAUGACAGCGAGGUUAAAGCGGAGAAAACAAAUGGUGAAUGCGGAGACCUCUUGCAUUUCUGUUGCGUAGCUGGAGGGAUUUACGGGGACUUAAUUCCUUAAAACUGUCCUCUCGUCCACAUGACGCUCAAAUGCAAGUGCUCAAGCUGAUCUAGCCAAAUGUAUCAAGAGAUGAGUGCAUCUCAUUGCCAUGGGGCUAGAUUAGGGCCUUUUAUAAGACAAGUAGAAAACACGUGAAACCAGUGCGGAGUAACGCAACGAGGAGGUGAAUUAGCUAGCUUCAAAAAUGAUAAAAACAACAUGUUGCCAAUAUCCACUUCGAGACAUGUCUUCCGGGAUUCUUCUGUGUGGGAGGAAAGCCGACUGUAUCAUAACAGCUUUAAGUCUAUACAUUUGAAGAUAUCCUGAGAAGAGGAGAAGCUGUCAAGCGCCUGGGUGACUCGACAUGCACGGACAAAUGAACAACGAUGCAGUAAAAAAAACUUUUAACACUUCAAGACAGGAUGGAAAGCUUCAGUUGUGCACCUGCUAUUGUGGAAUGCCCUGGAGACGAUGACAGCCACCAUUAUCCUGGUCCACAUGUUUUGCAAGCACUGAAUGGCGGGGUAACUAAUGCAAAGUGGACAUCAUCUGAUGUUAUCUUAUGUGAAUGUUUGGAGGAGCACAGUAGGAAAGGAUCAGUUUCUUCACAGUUUUAUUAAGAUUAGAACAUCUUUAGUGGCUUUUCAAUUAUGACACCAUGUUGCACUUACUCUAAAAUUGUUGGACUGAUAAUAAAAUGACUUAAAUUAAUAUUUAACUUGACUGUAUCUUCUGGUGUUACAUAUUGUGAUGGUUUUUUCUUUAUAAGGUUCUGAGUUUAGAGAUUAGAUCAAAAUUCUAGACAUGGCUGAAUGGGCAUAAUUUAGCAUGAUACAUUACAAAUGAACUUGCCUUAAUAUUCUCCCAAAUGUUUCUGUGAUUUGACAUAAUUGUGACAGUGUUUAAAUGCGAUAACAGUCCAUUUUUAAUGAGAGGAACACUUGAACGUGAAGGUAUAUUUGCACAAAGUAAUUACAAUGAAUAAAAGAGCUUGUUUGAUCUUUAUUGACAUUCAUAAUUUCCCGUGUGUGCCACAUCUUGCCGUAAGGUACAGCAAACUUAAAUAGGGUUAAAUGUUAUGCGUCACGGUCCGAGAAAAUAAGGAUGUCAGAUUGGAAGGGUGGGGAGAAACGGAGGAUGAUUGCACACUACAUUUCAAGAGAUCACUAAGGUUACAGCUAUCUACAUCUAGAAACAGACGGGGGAUAAUAAGAAAGUGAGAUAGAGAGAACAUUACAAUUCCUUUGUACAGUUACUCACACUGCAACAAUAUUGCACAACACCACAUUUUUUUUGUAAGUCUAUGUAUAAUUGUGUUUACACUUAUUAAAAAAACAUUUGCAUAUUAAUUUAUUUUCAAUAAAAUAGAAAUUUUAAGUUUUAAAAUAUGAGUUUGUUGAACAUAAACACACUUUAAAAUCUCCAACUAGAGCAAAAAAAGGCACAAAACCGAAACCGAAUUCUGUGCACAUGCAUGAUGCAUUUAGUAUUUUCUGAAAAUAUUUAACGGUUAUUAAUCACUACUGUAAUUGUUUGUCUGCUGUUUACACAGGGGCCAAGCGGCAAACAAAUGGAUUCAAUUAAAACCGAUUCUUCCCUUCAAGUCAUCAAUAUGAGGCAAAUGCCUGUGCCUCUUAACUGUUCAUAUCUCUUUUGGAAAAGUGGAGGCUGUCUAUUGGGACUCUCAGAAUUCUGUCAGUUGGAUGUUUCCAUUACGUUCUCAUCAUGUUCCUGCCAUGUUCUUGUCCCGGCUCCAGCCUGUAGUCAGCUACCCUUCCAGCCACAGGCUAGGCUGGCAGCUGUUUUUUUUUUUUUUUUUUUUGCAAUUGUGUAUCUCUAAGGGCUUGUCUGUCAACUGGAACCCUCCCCUCCAAUUAGGAGUGUAAACACAAGACCCGUCUGUGUGUGUGUGCUUAUGAGAAGUUCACAAACUGUCCCCUAAAACUCUCCUUCCAAAACAAUGCGUAGGGUUUCCAAAACUGCAAAUGAUGCAGGAGAAAUAUUUGCAGUUACAUAUUUCACCCUUCUUUAUAAAUUUGUAUUUAUAUAGACCGCAUCUUAUUUUGACUUAUAUAUGGUAACACAUUAUGACUUAAACUGUAUAUUUGAAAAAGAUAAAGGUAUUUAUAUUUAAAUUUAUUUGACUGCACUGAUAUACUGUAGAGUCAUUUAUAUUGUAGACAUUUAUACUGACAGAUUUUUCUG